CCUACGGGUGGCUGCAGUGGGGAAUAUUGCACAAUGGGCGCAAGCCUGAUGCAGCCAUGCCGCGUGUGUGAAGAAGGCCUUCGGGUUGUAAAGCACUUUCAGCGGGGAGGAAGGCGGUGAGGUUAAUAACCUCAUCGAUUGACGUUACCCGCAGAAGAAGCACCGGCUAACUCCGUGCCAGCAGCCGCGGUAAUACGGAGGGUGCAAGCGUUAAUCGGAAUUACUGGGCGUAAAGCGCACGCAGGCGGUCUGUCAAGUCGGAUGUGAAAUCCCCGGGCUCAACCUGGGAACUGCAUUCGAAACUGGCAGGCUAGAGUCUUGUAGAGGGGGGUAGAAUUCCAGGUGUAGCGGUGAAAUGCGUAGAGAUCUGGAGGAAUACCGGUGGCGAAGGCGGCCCCCUGGACAAAGACUGACGCUCAGGUGCGAAAGCGUGGGGAGCAAACAGGGUUAGAUACCCUUGUAGUC
RNAcentral lists this ribosomal RNA (465 nucleotides) under uncultured Klebsiella sp. RNAcentral describes it as "bacterial SSU rRNA". It matches the Rfam family "Bacterial small subunit ribosomal RNA", at positions 338 to 795 of the family's 1533-position model. Lineage: Bacteria; Pseudomonadati; Pseudomonadota; Gammaproteobacteria; Enterobacterales; Enterobacteriaceae. The record is from RNAcentral.